UGUUGUGAACUCGAAGAGUAGGGCGGGACACGUGGUAUCCUGUCUGAAUAUGGGGGGACCAUCCUCCAAGGCUAAAUACUCCUGACUGACCGAUAGUGAACCAGUACCGUGAGGGAAAGGCGAAAAGAACCCCGGCGAGGGGAGUGAAAAAGAACCUGAAACCGUGUACGUACAAGCAGUGGGAGCACCUUCGGGUGUGACUGCGUACCUUUUGUAUAAUGGGUCAGCGACUUAUAUUCUGUAGCAAGGUUAACCGUAUAGGGGAGCCGAAGGGAAACCGAGUCUUAACUGGGCGUUAAGUUGCAGGGUAUAGACCCGAAACCCGGUGAUCUAGCCAUGGGCAGGUUGAAGGUUGGGUAACACUAACUGGAGGACCGAACCGACUAAUGUUGAAAAAUUAGCGGAUGACUUGUGGCUGGGGGUGAAAGGCCAAUCAAACCGGGAGAUAGCUGGUUCUCCCCGAAAGCUAUUUAGGUAGCGCCUCGUGAACUCAUCUUCGGGGGUAGAGCACUGUUUCGGCUAGGGGGUCAUCCCGACUUACCAACCCGAUGCAAACUGCGAAUACCGAAGAAUGUUAUCACGGGAGACACACGGCGGGUGCUAACGUCCGUCGUGAAGAGGGAAACAACCCAGACCGCCAGCUAAGGUCCCAAAGUCAUGGUUAAGUGGGAAACGAUGUGGGAAGGCACAGACAGCCAGGAUGUUGGCUUAGAAGCAGCCAUCAUUUAAAGAAAGCGUAAUAGCUCACUGGUCGAGUCGGCCUGCGCGGAAGAUGUAACGGGGCUAAACCAUGCACCGAAGCUGCGGCAGCGACACUAUGUGUUGUUGGGUAGGGGAGCGUUCUGUAAGCCGUUGAAGGUGUCCUGUGAGGGAUGCUGGAGGUAUCAGAAGUGCGAAUGCUGACAUAAGUAACGAUAAUGCGGGUGAAAAACCCGCACGCCGGAAGACCAAGGGUUCCUGUCCAACGUUAAUCGGGGCAGGGUGAGUCGACCCCUAAGGCGAGGCCGAAAGGCGUAGUCGAUGGGAAACAGGUUAAUAUUCCUGUACUUGGUGUUACUGCGAAGGGGGGACGGAGAAGGCUAUGUUAGCCGGGCGACGGUUGUCCCGGUUUAAGCAUGUAGGCGGAGCGUUUAGGUAAAUCCGGACGCUUACUAACGCUGAGGUGUGAUGACGAGGCACUACGGUGCUGAAGUGACAAAUGCCCUGCUUCCAGGAAAAGCCUCUAAGCAUCAGGUAACACGAAAUCGUACCCCAAACCGACACAGGUGGUCAGGUAGAGAAUACCAAGGCGCUUGAGAGAACUCGGGUGAAGGAACUAGGCAAAAUGGUGCCGUAACUUCGGGAGAAGGCACGCUGAUAUGUAGGUGAAGCGGUUUACCCGUGGAGCUGAAAUCAGUCGAAGAUACCAGCUGGCUGCAACUGUUUAUUAAAAACACAGCACUGUGCAAACACGAAAGUGGACGUAUACGGUGUGACGCCUGCCCGGUGCCGGAAGGUUAAUUGAUGGGGUUAUCCGUAAGGAGAAGCUCUUGAUCGAAGCCCCGGUAAACGGCGGCCGUAACUAUAACGGUCCUAAGGUAGCGAAAUUCCUUGUCGGGUAAGUUCCGACCUGCACGAAUGGCGUAAUGAUGGCCAGGCUGUCUCCACCCGAGACUCAGUGAAAUUGAACUCGCUGUGAAGAUGCAGUGUACCCGCGGCAAGACGGAAAGACCCCGUGAACCUUUACUAUAGCUUGACACUGAACACUGGUCCUUGAUGUGUAGGAUAGGUGGGAGGCUUUGAAGUGUGGACGCCAGUCUGCAUGGAGCCAUCCUUGAAAUACCACCCUUUAAUGGCUGGUGUUCUAACGUGGGCCC
RNAcentral lists this ribosomal RNA (1856 nucleotides) under Citrobacter sp. wls706. RNAcentral describes it as "partial 23S ribosomal RNA". It matches the Rfam family "Bacterial large subunit ribosomal RNA", at positions 395 to 2234 of the family's 2925-position model. Lineage: Bacteria; Pseudomonadati; Pseudomonadota; Gammaproteobacteria; Enterobacterales; Enterobacteriaceae. The record is from RNAcentral.